GUGUUGUAUGAAAGGAGAGACAGUUAGCGCACCCCUCGACAAGGAUGGGAUAGUCUCUAGGGUCCCACAACAUGCAGACAAUUAUAGCAGUGCCACCUACUUCAAGGUAUCAAACUGUCAUUUGU
Molecule: small nuclear RNA, 125 nt
Organism: Pipistrellus kuhlii (Kuhl's pipistrelle)
Lineage: Eukaryota; Metazoa; Chordata; Mammalia; Chiroptera; Vespertilionidae
Source: RefSeq, a predicted model, not a curated record